This 502-nucleotide ribosomal RNA is filed under the name uncultured Bacillota bacterium. RNAcentral describes it as "bacterial SSU rRNA". It matches the Rfam family "Bacterial small subunit ribosomal RNA", at positions 355 to 849 of the family's 1533-position model. Lineage: Bacteria; Bacillati; Bacillota. The record is from RNAcentral.
UAGGGAAUCUUCCACAAUGGACGGAAGUCUGAUGGAGCAACGCCGCGUGAGCGAAGAAGGUUUUCGGAUCGUAAAGCUCUGUUGUGAGGGAAGAACAAGUGCAGGAGUAACUGCCUGUACCUUGACGGUACCUCAUUAGAAAGCCACGGCUAACUACGUGCCAGCAGCCGCGGUAAUACGUAGGUGGCAAGCGUUGUCCGGAAUUAUUGGGCGUAAAGCGCGCGCAGGCGGCCUUUUAAGUCUGAUGUGAAAGCCCACGGCUCAACCGUGGAAGGUCAUUGGAAACUGGAAGGCUUGAGUACAGAAGAGGAAAGCGGAAUUCCACGUGUAGCGGUGAAAUGCGUAGAGAUGUGGAGGAACACCAGUGGCGAAGGCGGCUUUCUGGUCUGUAACUGACGCUGAGGCGCGAAAGCGUGGGGAGCAAACAGGAUUAGAUACCCGGGUAGUCCACGCUGUAAACGUUGGGCACUAGGUGUGGGAGGUAUUGACCCCUUCGUGCCGC